RNAcentral lists this ribosomal RNA (448 nucleotides) under uncultured soil bacterium. RNAcentral's name for it is "bacterial SSU rRNA". It matches the Rfam family "Bacterial small subunit ribosomal RNA", at positions 26 to 518 of the family's 1533-position model. The record is from RNAcentral.
AGAACGAACGCUGGCGGCAGGCUUAACACAUGCAAGUCGAACGCACCGCAAGGUGAGUGGCAGACGGGUGAGUAACGCGUGGGAAUCUACCUAGCUCUUCGGAAUAGCUCCGGGAAACUGGAAUUAAUACCGAGUACGCCCUACGGGGGAAAGAUUUAUCGGAGUUAGAUGAGCCCGCGUUGGAUUAGCUAGUUGGUGGGUAAUGGCCUACCAAGGCGACGAUCCAUAGCUGGUCUGAGAGGAUGAUCAGCCACACUGGGACUGAGACACGGCCCAGACUCCUACGGGAGGCAGCAGUGGGGAAUAUUGGACAAUGGGCGCAAAGCCUGGAAUCCAGCCAUGCCGCGUGAGUGAUGAAGGCCCUAGGUUGUAAAGCUCUUUCAAGUAGGGAAGAUAAUGACGGUACCUACGAGAAGAAGACCCCGGCUAACUUCGUGCCAGCAGCCGC